Molecule: ribosomal RNA, 253 nt
Filed under: uncultured bacterium
Lineage: Bacteria
Description: partial 16S ribosomal RNA
Rfam family: Bacterial small subunit ribosomal RNA
Source: RNAcentral
UACGGGGGGGGCAAGCGUUGUUCGGAUUUACUGGGCGUAAAGAGCGCGCAGGCGGUCGUUCAAGUCGAGUGUGAAAGCCCCCGGCUCAACUGGGGAGGGUCAUUCGAUACUGAUCGACUCGAAGGCAGGAGAGGGUAGUGGAAUUCCCGGUGUAGUGGUGAAAUGCGUAGAUAUCGGGAGGAACACCAGUGGCGAAGGCGACUACCUGGCCUGUUCUUGACGCUGAGGCGCGAAAGCUAGGGGAGCAAACGGG